RNAcentral lists this long non-coding RNA (408 nucleotides) under Olea europaea subsp. europaea. Lineage: Eukaryota; Viridiplantae; Streptophyta; Magnoliopsida; Lamiales; Oleaceae. The record is from RNAcentral.
CAGAGUACCAUUUCUCAAAUAAUAAGCAUAUUAUUUCUCAAUUCCAUUUUCUUCUUGAGGAAAAUACAAUCUUCCCACCAAUUUUGUAUUCUUUCCAAGAUUGUGUGAACAAUUGUUGAGAUCGUUUGAUGCAAUUGGAAUAAAGAAUUUCCAUUGCAGUAUAGCCCUAAUCAAAAUCCUCAAAUUCAUGAACACUGUAAAGUUUCAGUUGAUCGCGAUAAAUCUUACUGAAUUCACCGAUUAACGAUCGUAACUUUGAUAAUUUUGAGUUAAAGAAGAAAAUGUCGUUUUCAUUUUUCAAGCCUUCUCGGCCUAAAACCCCACAGGAGCUGGCGAAGGCGAUCAAAGAUAGUCUCAUGGCUCUCGACACUAAAACGGUUGCGGAAGUUAAAGCCCUCGAAAAGGUCU